This 253-nucleotide ribosomal RNA is filed under the name uncultured bacterium. Its description in RNAcentral is "partial 16S ribosomal RNA". It matches the Rfam family "Bacterial small subunit ribosomal RNA", at positions 524 to 776 of the family's 1533-position model. The record is from RNAcentral.
UACAGAGGGUGCAAGCGUUAAUCGGAUUUACUGGGCGUACAGCGCGCGUAGGUGGCCAAUUAAGUCAAAUGUGAAAUCCCCGAGCUUAACUUGGGAAUUGCAUUCGAUACUGGUUGGCUAGAGUAUGGGAGAGGAUGGUAGAAUUCCAGGUGUAGCGGUGAAAUGCGUAGAGAUCUGGAGGAAUACCGAUGGCGAAGGCAGCCAUCUGGCCUAAUACUGACACUGAGGUGCGAAAGCAUGGGGAGCAAACAGG